This 529-nucleotide ribosomal RNA is filed under the name Salmonella enterica. RNAcentral describes it as "bacterial SSU rRNA". It matches the Rfam family "Bacterial small subunit ribosomal RNA", at positions 993 to 1522 of the family's 1533-position model. Lineage: Bacteria; Pseudomonadati; Pseudomonadota; Gammaproteobacteria; Enterobacterales; Enterobacteriaceae. The record is from RNAcentral.
GAACUUUCCAGAGAUGGAUUGGUGCCUUCGGGAACUGUGAGACAGGUGCUGCAUGGCUGUCGUCAGCUCGUGUUGUGAAAUGUUGGGUUAAGUCCCGCAACGAGCGCAACCCUUAUCCUUUGUUGCCAGCGGUCAGGCCGGGAACUCAAAGGAGACUGCCAGUGAUAAACUGGAGGAAGGUGGGGAUGACGUCAAGUCAUCAUGGCCCUUACGACCAGGGCUACACACGUGCUACAAUGGCGCAUACAAAGAGAAGCGACCUCGCGAGAGCAAGCGGACCUCAUAAAGUGCGUCGUAGUCCGGAUUGGAGUCUGCAACUCGACUCCAUGAAGUCGGAAUCGCUAGUAAUCGUGGAUCAGAAUGCCACGGUGAAUACGUUCCCGGGCCUUGUACACACCGCCCGUCACACCAUGGGAGUGGGUUGCAAAAGAAGUAGGUAGCUUAACCUUCGGGAGGGCGCUUACCACUUUGUGAUUCAUGACUGGGGUGAAGUCGUAACAAGGUAACCGUAGGGGAACCUGCGGUUGGA